Molecule: microRNA precursor, 69 nt
Filed under: Echinops telfairi (small Madagascar hedgehog)
Lineage: Eukaryota; Metazoa; Chordata; Mammalia; Afrosoricida; Tenrecidae
Description: miRNA (ENSETEG00000023869.1)
Source: RNAcentral
GUGUUUAGAUGUAUGUGUGUAUGUACAUCUAUGGGUAUCAAGUCAUGUACAUGAUAGAUAUCCCAUAUA